CUACGUAGGGGGCAAGCGUUAUCCGGAUUUACUGGGUGUAAAGGGAGCGUAGACGGUUUGGCAAGUCUGAUGUGAAAGCCCGGGGCUCAACCGCGGGACUGCAUUGGAAACUGUCAGACUUGAGUGCAGGAGAGGUAAGUGGAAUUCCUAGUGUAGCGGUGAAAUGCGUAGAUAUUAGGAGGAACACCGGUGGCGAAGGCGACUUACUGGACGGUAACUGACGUUGAGGCUCGAAAGCGUGGGGAGCAAACAGGAUUAGAUGCCCUGGUAGUCCACGCCGUAAACGAUGAAUACUAGGUGUUGGGAGACAAUAGUUUCUCGGUGCCGCAGCAAACGCAAUAAGUAUUCCACCUGGGGAGUACGUUCGCAAGAAUGAAACUCAAAUGAAUUGACGGGG
Molecule: ribosomal RNA, 397 nt
Filed under: uncultured bacterium
Lineage: Bacteria
Description: partial 16S ribosomal RNA
Rfam family: Bacterial small subunit ribosomal RNA
Source: RNAcentral